GGGAGCCUCCGUGAUGGUCCAGUCUGAACUAGCAUCAUGGUGGAGUGUAAUGAGGAGAAAUACAGAAUACCAUUUCGCAGAAAUCUGAGGCCUCUUCUAGGUACUGACUUAUGCUUUUGACACAAAUGAAAAAGUGAUUCAAGUGGAAAAGCUUGGUGCUAAAGCACAGAACAAUGUGACUUCUGCUGUGUUAAAAGGAUGAGCUGUGGAAGAUAACCUGUCUGACAGGUGAGUGUGGAGUUACUUGUCAGUUCACAAGGUUUCCUUGCAACUGUGUGUUAACUUGGUAUGACUGUAGAACAUUGAAACACCUCAGUCAGUGUGGAAAUAGUAAUCUGGUAGCAGAGACUGCUGGGCAGUGAUUACCCAGUAUCUGAGCAGGUUGUGUGUCUGGGAGCCAUUCUUGUGUGUAUAAAUACUUGAAAUGGAUGUCACAGUUGUGCAGCAAUUUGUAGCACUAGUUUCUGAAUCAGACUGCUCUUGGUCGCGAGGAACUGCUCUGCACUUGGAGCUUUUAACAGAUUUUAGGCUUGUUGGUGUACACAGCUUGGCAGGAUUAAUUGGUCCUUAACAAGAAAGGAGAACCUGAAUAUCAGUGUAAGUUGGUGGUAGCAGCAGUGAGAGCCAAGUACCUGGUCAUUACCAAGGCUGCUGGGAUGUUGCUGUUUCUGGUGAGCUGUGGACAUGACCGUAAAGCAAGUAAGUCCAGCAGACUCUUCCAUUGCCACAUGAUGUGGCACAAAGUCUGCUGGGAAUAAAGCUUUAGUGUGGGUCAGACACAGCGCUCCCUCCUGCUGCUUCGAUGACAGCAGGUUCCUGCUGUUUCUGAAGUGACCUUCAAUUUACAUCCAACUUUGUUGUUAACGCUUUGCUUACACUAACCAAAUCUGACUUGAACCCGUAGCUGCAGCAUGUCAGAGGGCUGAGAAACACCAUCUGAGUGCCACCAGAGUGAGUCUGAAGGUCCUGGUGAGGUUGCUGUGAGUGCUGCAAGGAAGAUCUAGAGAGCUCUUUCAAACACAACCUUAU
This 1029-nucleotide long non-coding RNA is filed under the name Columba livia (rock pigeon). RNAcentral's name for it is "partial uncharacterized LOC102083671". The record is from RNAcentral. Lineage: Eukaryota; Metazoa; Chordata; Aves; Columbiformes; Columbidae.